This 2186-nucleotide long non-coding RNA is filed under the name Ursus thibetanus thibetanus. Its description in RNAcentral is "lncRNA (ENSUTTG00000001599.1)". Lineage: Eukaryota; Metazoa; Chordata; Mammalia; Carnivora; Ursidae. The record is from RNAcentral.
UGAAAUUCUACCCAUCGGGUUAUAGAACUCACUCUUAGCUGUAGGAGUACUGCGUUAUGAGUAGUUGACAACAACCAAUUUUGCUUAACUACUUGUGAGACAUAGUUCAUUCCCAUCAUCUCAUUUAAGCGUUAACAUUUUCACAUCAGAGAGGAUCAAACAGUGGCUAGUUAGCGUCUGACUGAGGGAGACUUUGACCCCUGCUCAACCAGUUCUGACCCUGUGCUUUUCCUUCGGCCACUGUGACCCCUCUGAAACAUGGAUUUGAAUUCAUCAAUCCAUUAGUAAUGUCAUCAGUGGGCUGUCCACAUUAGCUGCUGUGUGUGGGGCCUGGGUAUUGCCGGGCUCCAGUAGGUCCUGGUGACCUUGAGUCCCAGGUCAUACACAAGGUGCUUCUUUGACGAGCUAGCACGUUUGGCUGUGUGUUCUCUGCAACAGCAUUUUCCAAACUGGCUCAGUUUCAAAGAUCAAUUUUUAGUUAAUGGUUGGUGUCAGUACAUUAGCUGCAUUCAUAGUUCUUAAGAAUCCAGCUUGUCUUUAUCCAGAAAUUAUCUCUAAUGUUGAGUCACCAAGGACGAACUUCUGGACAUUUUCAGAGGCGCCUGUUUAUCUGUUUUCUCUGUUUGCUCUGUUUAAAGGAGGGUAUAUAAAGAAGGUUCUGAGACGGGGGAAUCAUCACACAGAGGAGACACAUUCCCCUGCUACCUGAGCCCUCCACUCCUGAUACCAUGCACUGCAACACCUCCGGCGCCAUCUUCCCAGGCUGCUACUGGGGCAGCUACGGCUACCCCCUGGGGUACAGUGUGGGCUGUGGCUACGGCAGCACCUACUCCCCAGUGGGCUACGGCUUCGGUUACGGCUACAAUGGCUGUGGGGCCUUCGGCUACAGAAGAUACUGGCCAUUUGAUCUCUACUGAUUUGCUGAAAUUGCUGAGGCGUAGAAUCUUCUCUCCCAAGGCUGAAAGGCACCCUUCCACGUCCUCCUUCACGUCCUUCUUUAGACCUCCUUUGCUCCUUGACCUCCCAGUCGCUGCUUCUCAGACCUAGCGCCAGAAUCCGGAGGGAAGGAAAUGAAAAAUCAGAUGACGCCUCCAUCCGCCUUCCCUGGAUGAUGUUCUUUGAGACAUUUUCAGAAACUUGACGCCCAAACAUGUAUUUCUUUUGAAUCUCUCACCACGCUCACAACUCUUGAUAAAGUUGUGGAUGUGUGUGUUGAAUUCUCAAUAAACUUGUCUCAAUCAGCAUAAUAUUCUCACCUGAGCAGAGUUUCCUUUCUUGGUGUGUGCAUAUUUUCUGUGACAUUGAGUGGGGAAGGAAGUGGAUUUAUUUUUCUCCUGUGGGCUUUAGAAGCAAUAAGAAAGCAAAUAAUCCUUGAUCUGGUGUGAUAAACAGUCAAGAGGGGGCUACUUGUAAGGGGGAAAAAGUCUGUCUUCACCUUUUUCCUCCGGCAUCUACCUCCAACCCUUGGGCCAAUGGGUCACCAUUCAGUGCUUGGUGUUUCUCAUCUCACUGCUCCUUCCCCUCCUCAAGGAAACCCAAGAUUAUCAGGGGGCUUUUCCAGUUAUUUCCAUAUUAGUGCAAAUGAAACCCACUGUGUUCCCUCUCCCAGGGAUGGAAGAAUGUAGACUAAAACACCGUGUUCCCUACUAAAAGAUUCUGAGGCCUCAAGUAAUAGAAUAGCUAUAGACAUAUUUUAGGAGCCUGAGAGUCUUUUAGGGGAAGGGAUUAUUCCUUAUAUCAAAACAUUUAUUUUACAGUAUUUAUUUUACAGCUUAGAAAUUCCAGGUUGGAAACAAGGAUGGAAAGCUUCUUAAUCUUUGUACAAUCGAUACCAGGUAGUGAGUUUUACUCUUUAAAGAUAUGACUAACUUUUCAUAAAUAUGGGGCAAAAGUAACUAUAAAGAAGUGUUUCUGAAGAUAUAUCAGCCUUUCUCUGUGUUCCUUCAGAGAAAAGAGCUAUUCCUUUCAUAAGCCAAGUCAAAAAUGUCUCAAUCCUCCUGUUGAAAACAUUUUAUGUAUAGUACAAAUAUUCUUGGUGACAGCAGGAUUUGGCUUAACCCUGCUCUUUUAUUGAAUAUCUGCACAUGGCUUUAUUACCUCUGAUUCACCUUGUAGCUAAAAAUGUAAAGGCUGUUUGGAGAGAUUAUUUUAGAAGAAAGUAUUUUCUCCACCAUAUUUCAUCCAAC